RNAcentral lists this ribosomal RNA (254 nucleotides) under uncultured bacterium. RNAcentral's name for it is "partial 16S ribosomal RNA". It matches the Rfam family "Bacterial small subunit ribosomal RNA", at positions 524 to 776 of the family's 1533-position model. The record is from RNAcentral.
UACAGAGGUCUCAACCGUUGUUCGGAUUCAUUGGGCGUAAAGAGCUCGUAGGCGGUUUGUCGCGUCUGCUGUGAAAACUGGGGGCUCAACCCCCAGCCUGCAGUGGGUACGGGCAGACUAGAGUGCGGUAGGGGAGAUUGGAAUUCCUGGUGUAGCGGUGGAAUGCGCAGAUAUCAGGAGGAACACCGAUGGCGAAGGCAGAUCUCUGGGCCGUAACUGACGCUGAGGAGCGAAAGCAUGGGGGAGCGAACAGG